RNAcentral lists this ribosomal RNA (423 nucleotides) under uncultured bacterium. Its description in RNAcentral is "bacterial SSU rRNA". It matches the Rfam family "Bacterial small subunit ribosomal RNA", at positions 207 to 622 of the family's 1533-position model. The record is from RNAcentral.
AAGACCUUGCGCUUUUGGAGCGGCCGAUGCCUGAUUAGCUUGUUGGUAAGGUAAAAGCUUACCAAGGCUUCGAUCAGUAGCUGGUCUGAGAGGACGGCCAGCCACACUGGGACUGAGACACGGCCCAGACUCCUACGGGAGGCAGCAGUGGGGAAUUUUGGACAAUGGGGGCAACCCUGAUCCAGCCAUGCCGCGUGAGUGAAGAAGGCCUUCGGGUUGUAAAGCUCUUUCASCCGGAACGAAACGGUUACGGUUAAUACCCGUGACUAAUGACGGUACCGGAAGAAGAAGCACCGGCUAACUACGUGCCAGCAGCCGCGGUAAUACGUAGGGUGCGAGCGUUAAUCGGAAUUACUGGGCGUAAAGCGUGCGCAGGUGGUUUUGUAAGUCAGACGUGAAAGCCCCGGGCUCAACCUGGGAACU